This 253-nucleotide ribosomal RNA is filed under the name uncultured bacterium. RNAcentral describes it as "partial 16S ribosomal RNA". It matches the Rfam family "Bacterial small subunit ribosomal RNA", at positions 524 to 776 of the family's 1533-position model. The record is from RNAcentral.
UACGUAGGGUGCUAGCGUUGUCCGGAAUCAUUGGGCGUAAAGAGCGUGUAGGCGGUCCGGUAAGUCCGCUGUGAAAGUCGGGGGCUCAACCCUCGAAUGCCGGUGGAUACUGUCGGGCUAGAGUACGGAAGAGGCGAGUGGAAUUCCUGGUGUAGCGGUGAAAUGCGCAGAUAUCAGGAGGAACACCUAUUGCGAAGGCAGCUCGCUGGGACGUAACUGACGCUGAGACGCGAAAGCGUGGGGAGCAAACAGG